RNAcentral lists this ribosomal RNA (450 nucleotides) under Bacillus licheniformis. Its description in RNAcentral is "bacterial SSU rRNA". It matches the Rfam family "Bacterial small subunit ribosomal RNA", at positions 935 to 1399 of the family's 1533-position model. Lineage: Bacteria; Bacillati; Bacillota; Bacilli; Caryophanales; Bacillaceae. The record is from RNAcentral.
UACGCGGGUGGAGAUGUCCGGUAACGCGAAGAACCUUACCAGGUCUUGACAUCCUCUGACAACCUUAGGGCUUCCCCUUCGGGGGCAGAGUGACAGGUGGUGCAUGGUUGUCGUCAGCUCGUGUCGUGAGAUGUUGGGUUAAGUCCCGCAACGAGCGCAACCCUUGAUCUUAGUUGCCAGCAUUCAGUUGGGCAAUCAAGGUCUGGUGACAAACCGGAGGAAGGUGGGGAUGACGUCAAAUCAUCAUGCCCCUUAUGACCUGGGCUACACACGUGCUACAAUGGGCAGAACAAAGGGCAGCGAAGCCGCGAGGCUAAGCCAAUCCCACAAAUCUGUUCUCAGUUCGGAUCGCAGUCUGCAACUCGACUGCGUGAAGCUGGAAUCGCUAGUAAUCGCGGAUCAGCAUGCCGCGGUGAAUACGUUCCCGGGCCUUGUACACACCGCCCGAAA